GUUUACGGCCAUACCAGCCUGGGUACGCCCGAUCUUGUCUGAUCUCGGAAGCUAAGCAGGGUCGGGCCUGGUUAGUACUUGGAUGGGAGACCGCCUGGGAAUACCAGGUGCUGUAAGCU
Ribosomal RNA from Salmo trutta (river trout), 119 nucleotides. NCBI's taxonomy places the organism in Eukaryota, Metazoa, Chordata, Actinopteri, Salmoniformes, Salmonidae. The record is from Ensembl.